AGCCUAGCUAGGGCUAGUUUUAGUCUAGUCCUAGCCCUAGAUAAAGGCAUGAGACAUAGUACUGUUUAAUUAAUAAUUGUUGAUAAUUAAUUAAUGAUUACUAUAUCAUCAGUCUAUAGCACUAAUCUCUAGGUCUAUAUUGUUUUUGAUUGUUUUUUAACAGGAUUAACUGAAUUUGAAGCAAGGCUCUGCGAGUAUCUGAUGUCAGGUAUUUUCUGUUUUGAACUCUAAAUUCAAACUGAACGUUAAAUUUACACUUCAACUUUCCAACAAGUUUCAAGGCUAUAGAAAUUGCAAUUUGUAUUUUUGAUAUCGACCACUCCAAUAAUGAAUUGUUCGCCAAAAAUAUGUGCACUUCAAGCCGUCGACCAGGAAAAGAAUAUUAAAAAAGGAAUGUCAGGUGCAGUUAUAUGGAGAAUUUCAAGUUGCAAAUGUUAACAGCUAUAGUUAAGAAGAUUGCUGACUGCGAAACUUAGAGUGCCAAAAUAGGCAAUAAAGAUGAAUGCACAGUGCAUAUAUAAAGCAAAUUUAUGAUCCUCAGUCUGGUUUCAAUUACAAAGUGAAAACUCAAUCAAAUGUGGUGGUGUAAAGAAGUAUUUUGUUUGUUUGAAGCCUUACUGUGUCUGGUGGCAGUUGAUUGCAGAAACAGAAAUUUUCCUGACGUUCAAAGGUGAAUAUAA
Molecule: long non-coding RNA, 680 nt
Organism: Anneissia japonica
Lineage: Eukaryota; Metazoa; Echinodermata; Crinoidea; Comatulida; Comatulidae
Exons: 3
Source: RefSeq, a predicted model, not a curated record